Molecule: transfer RNA, 82 nt
Filed under: Gordonia phage WilliamBoone
Lineage: Duplodnaviria; Heunggongvirae; Uroviricota; Caudoviricetes
Description: tRNA-Tyr
Source: RNAcentral
CUGGGUGACGCACCAAUGGUGGUGCAGCAGGCUGUAACCCUGUGGCGGAAACGCGGGUAGGUUCGAUCCCUACCACCCAGAC